CCUGGCAGCCUUAGCGCGGUGGUCCCACCUGACCCCAUGCCGAACUCAGAAGUGAAACGCCGUAGCGCCGAUGGUAGUGUGGGGUCUCCCCAUGCGAGAGUAGGGAACUGCCAGGC
RNAcentral lists this ribosomal RNA (116 nucleotides) under Escherichia coli. RNAcentral also lists the same sequence under 2 other names. The record is from RNAcentral. Lineage: Bacteria; Pseudomonadati; Pseudomonadota; Gammaproteobacteria; Enterobacterales; Enterobacteriaceae.